RNAcentral lists this unclassified non-coding RNA (1276 nucleotides) under Hevea brasiliensis (rubber tree). The record is from RNAcentral. Lineage: Eukaryota; Viridiplantae; Streptophyta; Magnoliopsida; Malpighiales; Euphorbiaceae.
AUUAAAAUAAAAUAAGAAAAAAGAUAAUGAAAUUAAUUUAUUUUUAAUAAAAAUAUAAUAAGACAAGACUUAGACUUAAUUAAAAAAAAUAAAGAGUGUAUAAAAUAAUAAAAUAGAAAAAUUGAAAGAGCGUUGGAAAUUAAAGAGAGUGUAUAAAAUAAUUGUUUAAAGAAAUUGAAAGAGUAAUAGGAAUUAAAGAGUGUAAAGAAUAAUUGUGUAGAGAAUUUGAUAUUUAUAUAAAUGAAUUAGGAGUGGGGAGGGAUAUUUAUUGAGUUCUUUUUAAUUUAAAUGGUCAGUUUGGUUUGAUUUGCAAUAGACGGUUUAAUUUGGUUUUAAACCAUCGGUUUAUGGUUUCUAAAAAAUAUGAAUCUAAAUCAAACCGCAAAAAAUCAAUUUCGGUCCAAUUCGAAGCUGGUUUCAAUUUUGACUGAUUUUGGUAUGAUUUUGACCAAGUUAGUUUUGAUUCAAUUCAGAUUCAAAAUCAGGUCGUGCCCACCCCUACAUGGAAUGUGUGAGAGUCUUUAGUGACAAUCACAGUAUUGGUAUGCGAAGGAGGUGUUAGAUAAACAUAUAGAGCAAGACUCUGGAGGCUGUUUUGUCUUGUAAGUUGUAAAUGAAUGGACUUAUAUUAGAUGAAAGCUUUUGACGUUCAACUGUAUGAUUUUUGUUGCAGGAAGAAAGAGAAGCAAAAUCUUGUGUAAGAGAAUAAGGGGAUGGAAGAAGUACUGUUAUGUUUUCUCCUACCUAUGACAGUGUGUACAGAAACAAAAGUUUGGACUGAUCUAUAGAUUCCAAAAAAGGAUGGUUUUGGUAUAUUCUUAGCUGCUUUGAGCAAGCCUCUGUCAAUUCAACACAGUUAAUGGAAACUUCUGCUCUUGAGAAAGGACUCUCUUUGCAUUGUUUCUACAGAGUUGUGGUGGAAACAGAUUGCAACAACUGCUAAUACUGGUCAUUGGAGGACCAUGUGAGUAAGGUGGAUGGCUAUGUCUUUGUGAGAUAUGUGUGCUAAUAGCGUUUUGCUUGGCACCUGAGCUAACCAAAUUUUGGGACAGUACUAGAUGAUGUUCGUGCAUGCUGAUGGCCGAAAUAUCAUUAAGCCAAACGUUCCCUUUCAGUUUUCAUUAUGUGGAUCACGGUAGUUAUCGUUUUCAAUUUAUUCGCGCAAAAAAUUACAUUAUUUAUUUAUUUAUUUCUAUAUGACAUGUGUCAUGUGAGAAUGAAUGCACGAACUUGUAUAUGACGUAGUCAUGAGUUGGGAUGGUAACUUGUUCACAAA